UAGGCGAGGGAAGGUUUGGGCCAUGGUUGUAUUGAAAACGGAGAGGUAAACCUCUCUCAUUAAGCCUCGCUGCUGGUUGAAUCAAAUACUUUUUUUUCUUUUUUUUUUUUUUUUGUCUUUUUAGGUCUGCACCUGUGGGUAUAUGGAAGUGCCCAGCCUAGGGGUUGAAUCAGAGCUGCAGCUGCCGGCCUACACCACAGCCACAGCAACGCGGGAUCCAAGCCUCAUCUGUGACCUACACCACAGCUCAUGGCGACACCAGAUCCUUAACCCCCUGAGUGAGGCCAGGGAUCGAACCCAAGUCCUCACGGAUACCGGUCAGUUUCAUUACCACUGAGCCACAAUGGGAACUCCCAGAUGCUCCUCUUCUGAUGCCACCUUCUCUUGAGAAUUUCUGGGAUUGGGUAGUGGUUGGAUAGCUACUCUUGUUGAGAUUCUAGAGACUGAAGCCCCAUUACCCUGGGGUGGAGGGAGGCACCCCAGUUGCUCUGAGAAGAUUACGGAGGAUUUUCCGGUGACCAGAGGGUCUCGCUGAAGUUUACACCCAGGGGUGACUUCCUGCGUCCGCUCCUGCAGCCCCAAGAGUCCCCCUCGUUUUCUGGGAUUCCAAACCUCCCCCUCCUUGCAGCAAUCACCUUCUCAGGAGCAUGACUCACUUUUUCCUCCCGAGUCUAGGGGUUGGGGUGGGAUGCAGAACAGAGGCUAGAGCACCAAGCAAGUGACGUGGCCCCUCUAUUUUCUUGGUCGAUGUUGGCGUCAAAAUCUCCAGACUUGUCUGCCUCAGAUACGGGAUUCUUUUAAGAAGACUCUCCCAAACCAGACAAUACCCUUUGGCCCAAAGGACACCUGCCAUGGGGGGAAUGAUCCGGGAUGUGUUUGCCAGAGUGGAGCGUGCAGGGGCUGGCAAGGAAUAGCCCUUGCUGGUGCCACACGACGGUGACUCAAACAUGCGGGUGAGUGAAGGCCCACAGGUACUAACGGGGGAGCUCUCUGUGCUUCCCUGACCACACAGCACAGAAACAGGCGAACUCAUGAGUGGGGAACGGCCCUUUGGGGGAGGAGGGGGAAGCGGGUCUUAGGGAUGCUGGUGAUCCCUUGGUUUUCUUUGUGCUGAGUGCCGACUGCAGAGCUGCGUUCUUCGUAAAGAUGCAUCUACCUGUACACUAAUAAUAGGCACCCUUCCCACAAGGUGCACUGAAUUAAGCUUUUGUUUUCAAAUGUUAUAUGGCAAAAGCAAGUGAAUCUCAACUCCUUGGCCAAUGCUUCUCUGCAUUCAGUCCAAGAGCCCCACCUACGCUCUCGCCCUUUCUGCAGUUACCAUUUAGAUGGGGAGAAAGCCCUGUAAGACCUUGCAAGCUUUUCCGUGAUGGCCUCUCUGGCAAAACACCAUCAAGCGUUUGUGAUUCUUGGAGGCCUAAGGGUUUAGAGCUUUAGUAUCAGGGACUUUGGACACUGUCGACAAACAAGUUAUUAGGAGCUUUUUCAAGUACUCCUGCUGGGGUCAUGUGGGCUGUUGGCCAAACUAUUUCUUCUGUACUCAGACUUCAGGAAGACGCGGUUUCUUUUUCCGUGAGAGGACUGUGGCGAUUAUAAGCUGGCAUGGGUUUGGGGUACAGUUGCCUAAUCUUAGAGGGUGACUGGAAAAACCCAGAUGUGAGGGACGCGGGCCACAAAAAGGCCUCCUGAGGGAGUUCCCUGGUGGUCCAGUGGUGAAGGAUUUGGUGGCGUCACUGCUGUGGCUCAGGUUUGAUCCCUCACCACGGAUAAAUAAGUUAAUUCUCUAUAAGUAAGUUAAUUGGUUCACCUUGAUGUUUUCCAGGAAAUGAAGAAAUUGGUUUUAAAAGUUGUCUUAUGCUAAUAUCUGAUGAGGGAAUCUGGACAUAUCUUGAGGACGUUCACUGCGGUGUCAGGCCCUCUCCAUCCCCUGACAGCGAUGCUCCAUAACCAUUUACUGAUUUUUCUAAGAAGCAGGUGAUACUGUGAUUUAUACUAAGAAAUAUACACUUGGGUGUUCAUCCACAGUUCCUGGCUCACAGUUCCCAAAUCCCUUACAAUUUCCUAAUUGAUGAGAGCGAUAAAGGCAUCUUUUGUUCAAAUAUUUGGUUUUGUCCUCAGAUUCUGAAAUAGCUUCAGAGGGGUAAACAUGACGUCAUAUGACAGAAUGAUGAUAAUGUUGUAAAUUAACUACACUUCAAUGAAAUUUUUUUAAAAAACCCUA
Non-coding RNA from Sus scrofa (pig), 2218 nucleotides. The record is from RefSeq and is a predicted model, not a curated record. Lineage: Eukaryota; Metazoa; Chordata; Mammalia; Artiodactyla; Suidae.